RNAcentral lists this long non-coding RNA (212 nucleotides) under Chinchilla lanigera (long-tailed chinchilla). RNAcentral describes it as "lncRNA (ENSCLAG00000027029.1)". The record is from RNAcentral. Lineage: Eukaryota; Metazoa; Chordata; Mammalia; Rodentia; Chinchillidae.
CAUUUUCCAGAGCAUCCCUGGGCCCCUCCACAGCUCCACAGUAUCCCUGAGAACAUUUUGCCUUCACUCUGGUGCAUUAUUGGCACAAUUCUGGCAAAUCCGUUUAAGGUGCUUGCCCCAUAGAGCCCGCCAAGCUUUUAUGAUGUUGGAAGGAAGUUGGCCUCGCUCUGCAUUCGUGCUGUGAUCACAGAGUGGCAAGAGUGUCCCUUUAA